UAUAUAUAUAUAUAUAUAUAUAUAUAAUCAGGCAAUAAUCUAGUAGCUCUGCAUUGGCAAGACUUGAAAAAAUAUAGAAAAAAGCUAAAGGGGUACAGUGAACUUGCCAUGAGGAGUGGAAUAUCCAACGUUUCGGAUUCAAUCCUUAAUCCAUGGCUGUGUGGUA
Molecule: long non-coding RNA, 166 nt
Organism: Octopus sinensis (East Asian common octopus)
Lineage: Eukaryota; Metazoa; Mollusca; Cephalopoda; Octopoda; Octopodidae
Exons: 3
Source: RefSeq, a predicted model, not a curated record